AAUUUCUGGCUUGGCAAUUUUGGCCCGGUACGGUAACGUACUGUUUGUGCUGACUGUUGCCGGUCAUCCUUCUGGGUUUAACGGGCCGUGCCCUUCACGGGGUUGCGGUUCGCGAACCAGAUCUUUUACUUUGAAAAAAUUAGAGUGUUUAAAGCAGGCGUUUGCUAUGAAUACAUUAGCAUGGAAUAAUAAUUUAGGACUUCGGUUCUAUUUUGUUGGUUUCUAUAACUGAAGUAAUGAUUGAUAGGGAUAGUUGGGGGUGCUAGUAUUGGCCGGCCAGAGGUGAAAUUCUUGGAUUCGGUCAAGACUAACUUAUGCGAAAGCAUU
This 327-nucleotide ribosomal RNA is filed under the name Sarcomonadea sp. RNAcentral's name for it is "SSU rRNA". The stretch from base 109 to 327 matches the Rfam family "Eukaryotic small subunit ribosomal RNA", at positions 735 to 955 of the family's 1831-position model. The record is from RNAcentral. Lineage: Eukaryota; Cercozoa.